CAAAUGAAUUGACGGGACCCGCACAAGCGGUGGAUGAUGUGGUUUAAUUCGAUGCAACGACGAAAACCUUACCCACCUUUGACAUGGCAGGAAUCCCGAAGAGAUUUGGGAGUGCUCGAAAGAGAACCUGCACACAGGUGCUGUAUGGCUGUCGUCAGCUCGUGUCGUGAGAUGUUGGGUUAAGUCCCGCAACGAGCGCAACCCUUGCCAUUAGUUGCUACGAAAGGGCACUCUAAUGGGACUGCCGGUGACAAACCGGAGGAAGGUGGGGAUGACGUCAAGUCCUCAUGGCCCUUAUAGGUGGGGCUACACACGUCAUACAAUGGCCGGUACAGAGGGUAGCCAACCCGCGAGGGGGAGCCAAUCCCACAAAGCCGGUCGUAGUCCGGAUCGCAGUCUGCAACUCGACUGCGUGAAGUCGGAAUCGCUAGUAAUCGUGGAUCAGCAUGUCACGGUGAAUACGUUCCCGGGUCUU
Molecule: ribosomal RNA, 475 nt
Filed under: uncultured Allobrachymonas sp.
Lineage: Bacteria; Pseudomonadati; Pseudomonadota; Betaproteobacteria; Burkholderiales; Comamonadaceae
Description: bacterial SSU rRNA
Rfam family: Bacterial small subunit ribosomal RNA
Source: RNAcentral